RNAcentral lists this long non-coding RNA (420 nucleotides) under Physcomitrium patens. Its description in RNAcentral is "long non-coding RNA (PPAT_LNC012704)". The record is from RNAcentral. Lineage: Eukaryota; Viridiplantae; Streptophyta; Bryopsida; Funariales; Funariaceae.
AAGUCAAAGUAAUAUCUAUAAAGCUUCUUCAAAGCUUUUUUAGAAGAUAUUAUAGAAUUAACUUACUUUUACCUACUUCUAUCUACUUCUACCUAUUCAUAUAGGUGACUAUUGGCUUACAUGUAUAUAUUUGUGAUAUUAUCUCUCCUUCUAGAAACAAGUUCUAUGAGGAGUAGUCAUCAUAUGUUGGAAAAAUAUAUGAUGCAAUGGAUUAUAUUUGCCACAUACUUAGAUCUUUGUAUUCUUUGAACAUGGUUGAUAGGACUUUUCAACCAUUGAUAGUAUUUUAUACCAAGGCAGGAAGAUGACCUUGUUAUUUGAUCAUUAUUGAGGCCUUCAUAACUUCUUUCGAAUAAAAUAUUUGAAAUAUCGUCAAGAGUUGUUUCUACCUCUUAUAAAAUUAUGAGACAUUGGAAGUCU